This 645-nucleotide ribosomal RNA is filed under the name Trichoderma harzianum. Its description in RNAcentral is "eukaryotic LSU rRNA". The stretch from base 258 to 411 matches the Rfam family "5.8S ribosomal RNA". Lineage: Eukaryota; Fungi; Ascomycota; Sordariomycetes; Hypocreales; Hypocreaceae. The record is from RNAcentral.
GGAAGUAAAAGUCGUAACAAGGUCUCCGUUGGUGAACCAGCGGAGGGAUCAUUACCGAGUUUACAACUCCCAAACCCAAUGUGAACGUUACCAAACUGUUGCCUCGGCGGGAUCUCUGCCCCGGGUGCGUCGCAGCCCCGGACCAAGGCGCCCGCCGGAGGACCAACCUAAAACUCUUAUUGUAUACCCCCUCGCGGGUUUUUUUUAUAAUCUGAGCCUUCUCGGCGCCUCUCGUAGGCGUUUCGAAAAUGAAUCAAAACUUUCAACAACGGAUCUCUUGGUUCUGGCAUCGAUGAAGAACGCAGCGAAAUGCGAUAAGUAAUGUGAAUUGCAGAAUUCAGUGAAUCAUCGAAUCUUUGAACGCACAUUGCGCCCGCCAGUAUUCUGGCGGGCAUGCCUGUCCGAGCGUCAUUUCAACCCUCGAACCCCUCCGGGGGGUCGGCGUUGGGGAUCGGCCCUCCCUUAGCGGGUGGCCGUCUCCGAAAUACAGUGGCGGUCUCGCCGCAGCCUCUCCUGCGCAGUAGUUUGCACACUCGCAUCGGGAGCGCGGCGCGUCCACAGCCGUUAAACACCCAACUUCUGAAAUGUUGACCUCGGAUCAGGUAGGAAUACCCGCUGAACUUAAGCAUAUCAAUAAGCGGAGGA